This 293-nucleotide signal recognition particle RNA is filed under the name Aotus nancymaae (Ma's night monkey). Its description in RNAcentral is "Metazoan signal recognition particle RNA (ENSANAG00000005835.1)". It matches the Rfam family "Metazoan signal recognition particle RNA". Rfam says of the family: The signal recognition particle (SRP) is a universally conserved ribonucleoprotein. Lineage: Eukaryota; Metazoa; Chordata; Mammalia; Primates; Aotidae. The record is from Rfam by way of RNAcentral.
GCCAGGUGCUGUGGUGCAUGCCUGUAGUCCCAACUACUUGGGAAGCUGAGCUAGGAAGAUCUCUUGAGCCCAGGAGUUCUGGGCUGUAGUGCACUAUGCCAAUCAGGUGCCUGCACUAAGUUCAGCAUCAAUAUGGUGACCUCCAGGGAGUGGAGGACCACCAGACUGACUAAGGAGGAGUGAACUGGAUCAGGUCAGAAAUAGAGCACAUCAAAACUUCUGUGCUGAUCAGUAUUGGGAUCAUGACUGUGAAUAGCCGCUGCACUCCAGCCUGGGUGAUAUGGUUUGGCUGU